This 468-nucleotide ribosomal RNA is filed under the name uncultured bacterium. RNAcentral's name for it is "partial 16S ribosomal RNA". It matches the Rfam family "Bacterial small subunit ribosomal RNA", at positions 28 to 507 of the family's 1533-position model. The record is from RNAcentral.
GACGAACGCUGGCGGCGUGCUUAACACAUGCAAGUCGAACGGUGAAGCUCCAGCUUGCUGGAGUGGAUCAGUGGCGAACGGGUGAGUAACACGUGAGCAACCUGCCCCUGACUCUGGAAUAAGCGCUGGAAACGGCGUCUAAUACUGGAUACGAGAAGGGUCCGCAUGGGCACUUUCUGGAAAGUUUUUCGGUUGGGGAUGGGCUCGCGGCUUAUCAGCUUGUUGGUGAGGUAAUGGCUCACCAAGGCGACGACGGGUAGCCGGCCUGAGAGGGCGACCGGCCACACUGGGACUGAGACACGGCCCAGACUCCUACGGGAGGCAGCAGUGGGGGAUAUUGCACAAUGGGCGAAAGCCUGAUGCAGCGACGCCGCGUGAGGGAUGACGGCCUUCGGGUUGUAAACCUCUUUCAGCAGGGAAGAAGCGAAAGUGACGGUACCUGCAGAAGAAGCACCGGCUAACUACGUG